GUAACGGCGAGUGAACGAGGAACACACAGGGCUCGGCCCGAACCGGAUUAUCUCUUCCCUGCGCGGCACACAGAACAACCUCCUUCUGUCGCCACAGUCGGGCACGUCGCCGUGGGUCGCCUUCGGGCGGCGAACGUGCGGAGUGCGUCGGCCCUGUGGACAACUGCGGGGAGCAGUGGUCGCGACCGGCUAUCGUGGUAAUUCCAGCAGAUGCUGUGGGCUGUGGAGCGGGUGGCUGUGCGGCGGUGGUCGCGGCCCCAGGAGGAACCCUGGAAGGGGUCACCACCGAGGGCUACCGUCCCGUACGCCGGCAGUUGUGCCGCGGCUCGCCGUCGCGCGGCCGCCCGUAUCCAAGAGUAGAGUGGCUUGGGACUGCAGUUUGAAGCGCGGCGUGUAUCCGCCGCAAGGAAGCAUACAGACCUGGGACCGAUAGCGCACAAGUAGAGUGAUCGAAGGAUGCAAAGAACUCCGCGAAGAGGGUUAAAAGUUCCUGAAGCCUCGGCAGGAACGGUGGUGAACGGUGCUGUGGCUGUGCGAACCCUGUUCGUCGCGGGUGGCGUUCCCGGUGCGUGCGUGGGUGUGGCGUGCGUGACUGCGGCUGCGGGUGCGAAAGAGAACCGCACCGCCCGAGCGCCCCGCACCCGGCCGCCCGCCGGCGAGCUCCCCCCUAURUGYGACACRGGGUGCCUCCCUGUGGUUUCGUGUAUAUCAGCAGAACAACAAACAGMGAAGGCUGACGSUGUUGUGCAAUGUGAUYCCUCUCGUCAACCAARCGACCUCGGGCCARCCCCGGGCCGGCCGCCGAGCCCCCGUCCCAGGGCGGGGAUGSCCAUUGCGGCGGCACCUGCGGGKGGCACUCCGCGUGUCGGGGSCCGAGGSCCGACCAGCGAUCCCUCUUGAAGCAUAURCAURCGUGGSGCUUGCUUUGUGUUUUUUUUUCWCGCCMCCAGGGGGSCACGUGGUCCCCUCCUGCCCCCYGCGAACGCSCCMUCUGUGGGCUGUCCAGGAGUGUGGGUCACAGGCCCCCSAAAGGCMCGGGGAAARCCUCAGCAGCGCAUCAGCAGAGCAUCAGCAUYGGCAGAGCAUCAGCAGUUAUAGMGUAGCCCAGCCAGCCCCYGGCGUGUYUCCGGACGUGCCAGUCACCACGGCGCCAGCCUGGAACACCGCGCCCUYGCACGCGCACCCCCUCGGGGGCUCGCGGGKGGGGUCGCGGCGGGGCCCCCCGGACGGUGUGCGGCUGCACNNNNNNNNNNNNNNNNNNNNNNNNNNNNNNNNNNNNNCCUGGGUCAGCCCGGGGCUGGGCACUGAGCUCCCCAUCUCCAGAUGGGAAUGACCAUCGUGGCAGCUCUGCGGUGGCAGGUCCGCCCUGUCAGGACCUGGGGUUCCCCAGUGAAAGAAGUCUUCAUCCUCUCAGUGAUGUGGCUCUGGAUGCGCAGCAGACCUGGCCUUCAACGGCAGCUGUGGAAGUGGGACACACAGCCCAGAGAGAGAGAGAGAGUCAUCUCCCCUGUGUGACACCCAUGACCCCUGCUGCUGGCGAUGGCCCGGAAUGCUUGAAUCGUGUAGUAKCUGCUUGUCCUUGACCCCGGUGUGUCUCCGGACAUGUCGGUCKCUGGCGGUCGAUCUGGAUGGGGUGUGCUUGGCUACACUGGGGACUGCACCAUCUUGAUGGUGGUCACCGUGUUCGGCUGCACCGCCUCCCAGCUUGGCCCCAGUGAGAAAUGGCAGCGGAGCUUGGCACUUCCUCGCAGUGCUGCUCUCUGCCCGUCUUGAAACACGGACCAAGGAGUCUAAGGAGCUUGCUUGUUGGAUGGCUGAUACUCGAAACCUCUCUGAGGCGUGGUGAAGGCAACGUCCACUUCCAGAUGGGCUUGAUAUCUCUGCAUGGAAUGACCGGACCCGAAGUCCAGCGGACAGGGUUUUGAGUGCUUGCAAGGUCCUUGGGACCCGAAAGGUGGUGAACUAUACCGUUCUACGACGAAGCCAUGGGAAACUGUGGUGGAAGUCGGUCGCUGUUCUGACGUGCAAAUUGUGUAGCCUGAGUGCAGCAUAGKGGUGAAAAGGCCAAUCGAGCCAYCUAGUAGCUGGUUCCCUUCWAKUUUCNNNNNNNNNNNNNNNNNNNNNNNNNNNNNNNNNNNNNNNNNNNNNNNNNNNNNNNNNGAGUCUAUGGAGCUUGCCAGUCGUCUGGAGCAGACGCACGCGAGUGCGGCGCUCAGACCAGCAGUGCAUGGUGAAGGCAACGUGGCUGUACCCUCGCCGGUGACGCACCCGUGCGUCACCGGAGUGAGAGGCGGACAUCAUCACGGCGUGGGUCAGACGGACGCGCCCCGCGCGCCCCGCACGGCCCCACCGGACCCGCAGUCCAGCGGACAGGGUUUCGAGUGAAUGCAAGGUCCAUGGGACCCGAAAGGUGGUGAACUAUACCAUUCUACGACGAAGCCAUGGGAAACUGUGGUGGAAGUCGGUCGCUGUUCUGACGUGCAAAUCGUGUAGCCUGAGAGUGGCAUAGGGGUGAAAGGCCAAUCGAGCCACCUAGUAGCUGGUUCCCUUCGAAGUUUCCCUCAGGAUAGCUGGGCUCGAAUGCAAGAGACGAAGAAGAGACGCCGUGUUACGCGCAGUGACCGCGGUUACGUCCGGUAAAGCAACGCACGAGAGGCACAACUCCGGGGGGGUCCAUCCCCUCGACCUAUCCUCGAACUGUGAAUGGGCGUGGUGCCAGGCAUGCUCCUUCGCCAACGUCGGGAGGCCGUGAAGGGGCUCGCGCAGACCCAUCGCGGUGCUCCGCAGACCUCUGAGCGUGUUGCGACUGGCCCCCCGCCUGACGGGGGGCGACCUUGCGAGAACGCACGUGCCCAUGUGGGCCAUUACUGGUAAGCAGUGCUGGCGAUGCGGGGUGCUCCGAGAGCGGAUCUACAGAACCCGAGUGCUGGCUCAUACUCAGAUCCCACAAAGGAUGUUGCUUGCUCUGGAUAGCAGGACGGUGGCCAUGAAGGUUGGAACCCGCUGAGGAAUGUGUAACAACUCACCUGCCGAAGCGUGCAGCUCCGAAAAUGGAUGGUGCCCAAGCCAGCGCAGACAUACCCUCUGACGAUCCGCCGGCGCUGUGGUGUGGAGAAGUGGUUGUCACGCAGGCCGGAAGCAGAGCAUCGCCGUGUAGAAAGGGCUCGGGCGACCGCCGUGCGGGUCGGGGCUGCCCCCGUUCCCCCUCCUCGAGCGUCGCCCGGCGCAGAUCUUGGUUGCAGUAGCGAGUACUCCAUCGGGUGAAGAGCGGCCAAACAUCACAGCCCCGCUGUGCGCGGUUGAGGACUGGAGUGGAGCAGGCUUCCACACCAACAGCCGUUGAAUGUGGGUCAGCCGACCGUGAGCCAAGUGGUAAGUUCACCGAACAACCAAAGCUGCCGAAGCGCGCUCGGAAGAGGACCCACGCGGUGUCGUGACGAUGUGGAGGUCCCAUCUCCGGAUGUGUGUGAGUGCUGUGUGGGGGAGAGCUGGAGAGGGUCUGUGACGGUCGCGCCCGCCCGCUUGCCGUGGUCCCCGUAGUGGGAGUGCCACGCGAACGGUGCGUCUUCCGCGUUGAUGAUGUGGCGCGACCCGCAGCAGCACCCACCCAACCACCAACGGUGUCGUUGGCCCUCCCUCUCCCCACAGCCCACGCGAAGGGCACCACAUGGUCACCGCGCGUCGGGCAGGAGUGGCAAACAGGCAAGGAGUCGCAAGAUUCUCCUGUGAUGGGCUUGGGGGUGCUGGCGGCGGCGACGCCCCCAGUACACGAAGUAGCAUGCCAGCAGGCUUAGGGGCAGUGGAGCCCCCGGGGAGUUCUAUCGUUUCCUCCUGAUGCAGACCCAUGUGGGCUAUCGAUUGGCACGACAACUGGUGGUGUAGAGUCCUCCGCUCAGCAAGGCAGUGCGGCCUCCGCGCUGGUGGUUCCCUCUUGAAGUACGCUGUUCCCUCUUGAAGCCUGUGGCCCACGGGCGUGGGCGACGACCCCCCGUCGCGCCCUCCCCGUGUGGUCACGCACCGAAGACACAAACAUGGCUGUCACUGGCUCCAAUGAAAGGCCUGUGGGCUAUCGGACGCGCCCCAGAUCCCUUGUGUUCGUACUGCAUCACCGCAGCAGGUCUCCUCGACAUGAAGUCGCUAGUCAACGGACGAAAUGCAGCUAAGGGAAGUCGGCAAACUGGCUGUGCACCCUCGGAAGAUGCAGUGGCUCCAGAGGCCAGGCUAUUGGGCCCUUCCGGGGGCGGCGUGGCCUGCUCGGGGGCGAGCGCCCUGACGGGGCGUCCACUUCGUGUGGAUGCUCUGUGGGGCUGACCGCCCUCGGCCCGCGCCGCCCCUCCGGCAGGGGCCGGACGCGCGUUGCGUGUGCCCCUCGCGGGCGUGCGUGACGCGGCCGGCCGCCCCCGUGGCUACGCAGUGGCCCAUGUGGAACUGUUGCCGUGCAGGGGAAUCUGACUGUUUAAUUGAAACCCAGCUUCGGGAUGGGGUCCCGCCGGCUGGCCCCCCGAGGUGACUUCUGCCCAGUGCUCUGAUUGUCAAUCCGAAGAGAUUCAGCCAAGCGCGGGUAAACGGCGGGAGUAACUAUGACUCUCUUAAGGUAGCCAAAUGCCUCGUCAACCAAUUAUUGACGCGCAUGAAUGGAUCAGCGAGAUUCCUGCUGUCCCUAGCCGCUGUCCGGUGAAC
Molecule: ribosomal RNA, 4680 nt
Filed under: Euglena granulata
Lineage: Eukaryota; Euglenozoa; Euglenophyceae; Euglenales; Euglenaceae
Description: partial large subunit ribosomal RNA
Rfam family: Eukaryotic large subunit ribosomal RNA
Source: RNAcentral